AUUAUUCUCGCCUGUUUAUCAAAAACAUGUCCUCUUGCUUUUAAUAAGAGGUCGAGCCUGCCCAAUGUGUAUAUUAAUGGCCGCGGUAUUUUGACCGUGCGAAGGUAGCAUAAUGAGUAGUCUAUUAAUUGUGGUCUGGAAUGAAAGGUUUGACGGGGGUAAGCUUUCUUAAUUUUAUAGUUGAAUUUAAGUUAUCAGUAAAAACGCUGAUGUGAAUUAGUAGGACAAGAAGACCCUAUAGAGCUUUAUAUUUAACUUGGUUGUCGUGGCAUGGUUUUCAAGUUUAUAUUUUGUUGGGGCGACAUUAAAUACUAAACAUUUAAUUUGAAAUCUUUUUUAAAGGUAAAUUGAUCCAUUAAUAAUGAUUUGAGACUAAGUUACCUUAGGGAUAACAGCGUAAUUUUAUUGUAGAGUUCAUAUCGAUGAUGAAGUUUGCGACCUCGAUGUUGGAUUAAAAUACCUAUAAGGCGUAGCAGUUUUAUGGGGUAGUCUGUUCGACUAUUAAAAUUUUACAUGAUCUGAGUUCAAAUCGGCGUGAGCCAGGUUGGUUUCU
RNAcentral lists this ribosomal RNA (553 nucleotides) under Ethmostigmus sp. 2 CJ-2022a. RNAcentral's name for it is "partial large subunit ribosomal RNA". It matches the Rfam family "Bacterial large subunit ribosomal RNA", at positions 1783 to 2639 of the family's 2925-position model. Lineage: Eukaryota; Metazoa; Arthropoda; Chilopoda; Scolopendromorpha; Scolopendridae. The record is from RNAcentral.